CCUUUAGCUUCUUCUUCGGCUCCAGUUUACCAAGGAGCAUACUCGACAAUGUAUUCUGUGGGUAGGCCUUUGAGCAAUAGCAGAGAAAACCAUAUGUUUCCAGAGAAACCCAGACAUGCUCUUUGUUUAACCUACAUAAGGACAGGAAAAUGUGUAUUUCCUUCCGCCUGUGGGCUUCAUCAUCCAACAGAGAGGAUACAUACUAAAGAAACACUUGGG
Molecule: unclassified non-coding RNA, 219 nt
Filed under: Hevea brasiliensis (rubber tree)
Lineage: Eukaryota; Viridiplantae; Streptophyta; Magnoliopsida; Malpighiales; Euphorbiaceae
Source: RNAcentral